RNAcentral lists this long non-coding RNA (1034 nucleotides) under Mytilus galloprovincialis (Mediterranean mussel). Lineage: Eukaryota; Metazoa; Mollusca; Bivalvia; Mytilida; Mytilidae. The record is from RNAcentral.
CACUCAAUGGAAUCCGCUGUAAAAUGUUUAUUGUUAAUAGUUAAUGAAGAUUUUUUGAAAAUAAUCAUUUUAUUUCACAGAUUUUAUAUUGUGAUAAUCCACUAUAUGUAGCUUAAAAGUAGAAAUAUAAUCAUUUCAAUAUCAUGUAUUCUUUAUUUAGUAGGUAGUUUUGAUGGGCUAAGGAUCAAAAUUUGUGUUUUAUAUAUAAAAAGUGAUAGUUUUGGAAAUGAAACAAAAUAUGACAAGAUUUAGAAAUAGGAAGUUAUUCUAUGAUAUUAUUUUUUAUUAUUUUGUUUUCCUUGUUAUAUAAGGGUAUUUCUUUAUUUUAUAAAUCAGUGUUCUGUUUAUCAUGUUUAUAAUAUACUCUAUAUCUCACAUAGCUUUGUCAUUUUCUUUUGUCCACAGUUGGAGUAGAAACAGAAAGUGGGGUAUUCUUCUAUAUGGUGUUUCCACCCCAGUGUUUAAAAUGUAUUUAUUAUCAACAGAACUGAAAAUAUGUUAGAUUAGAGUGAAAGUACUGGACUAAUCAUGAUUGACAUGUUGAAGUUCGAUUAGAAUGGAAGUACUGGACUAAUCAUGAUUGACAUGUUGAAGUUAGAUUAGAGUGAAAGUACUGGACUAAUCAUGAUUGACAUGUUGAAGUAACAAAGUGUAUCUAAGUUGAAGUGUAGGAAAACACAUUGUGUUCAUUGUAAGACAAUCAUUGUCAUCUAUCAAAACAACCAUAGGUCUUCUUUUGUUUAUGAAUAGAUUGGUUAUCAUCUGUCUCUUAGCAGUAAUGAGGUAUAGAAAGUCACUAUAAAAAGAAAUUUUGUAACCAGCAUUAAUGAGAUGAUAUCUUUUAAUCAUUAUUAUGUUUCUGGCUAUCAUCUGUCUCUUAUAAGUACUAAGAUGCAGAAAGUCAUCAUAGAAAGGGAUAUGUAUAAAAGCAUUAACAUUACAACUAAACAUCUUUUAGUCAUUUUUAUGUUUCUAGUCUUAUUUAUCCAAUGUAGCUUUGUUAUGCUUAUAUUUUGUGAUAUAUUCAAUUAAAC